Molecule: long non-coding RNA, 260 nt
Filed under: Mytilus galloprovincialis (Mediterranean mussel)
Lineage: Eukaryota; Metazoa; Mollusca; Bivalvia; Mytilida; Mytilidae
Source: RNAcentral
UUAAUGCUAAAUAAUUUUGUUGGAAAUUUUAGUUUCUAAUAGCAAAAAAGUGGACAAGACUAUUGUUUCAAUCCAGAUACGGCCAGAACUGAGUUUUGCUUAAGGCAAGAAUCAGAGUCAAUUUUUUUUCUCUCAAAUAUUUCCGACUACCACCUCAAAUUAAAUGGUUCGUACCUGAGACUUGAAAUCUUUCUAUCUAGAGCUUAUAAAUACUGACUGGGGAUCAUUAUUCAAUUUGUUAUUUAUAAAAUAGGUUUGGG